RNAcentral lists this ribosomal RNA (401 nucleotides) under uncultured bacterium. RNAcentral's name for it is "bacterial SSU rRNA". It matches the Rfam family "Bacterial small subunit ribosomal RNA", at positions 355 to 773 of the family's 1533-position model. The record is from RNAcentral.
UCGGGAAUUUUGGGCAAUGGGCGAAAGCCUGACCCAGCAACGCCGCGUGAGGGAUGAAGUAUUUCGGUAUGUAAACCUCGAAAGAAUGGGAAGAAUAAAUGACGGUACCAUUUAUAAGCUCCGGCUAACUACGUGCCAGCAGCCGCGGUAAUACGUAGGGAGCAAGCGUUGUUCGGAUUUACUGGGCGUAAAGGGCGCGUAGGCGGCGCGGUAAGUCACUUGUGAAAUCUCUGAGCUUAACUCAGAACGGCCAAGUGAUACUGCUGUGCUAGAGUGCGGAAGAGGCAACCGGAAUUCUUGGUGUAGCGGUGAAAUGCGUAGAUAUCAAGAGGAACACCUGGGGCGAAGGCGGGUUGCUGGGCCGACACUGACGCUGAUGCGCGAAAGCCAGGGGAGCAAGC